CUACGGGCGGCUGCAGUUAGGAAUAAUCUACAAUACGCGCAAGCGUGAUAGUUUGAAUCAGAGUGCGUUUCAACAUGAAAUGCUUUUGCCAAAUGUAAAAAGUUUGGCGAAUAAGGACUGGGUAAGACGAGUGCCAGCCGCCGCGGUAAUACUCGCGGUCCAAGUCGGAGCCAUUUUUAUUGGGUCUAAAACAUCCGUAGCUUGCUUUGUAAGUUCCUUGUGAAAUUCUAUAUCUUAAAUAUGGAGCGCGCGGGGAGUACUGCUAGGCUAGAGACUGGAAGACGUAACGAGUACGUUCUAAGUAAUGGUAAAAUAUGUUAAUCUAGGACGGACUAACAACAGCGAAGGCACGUUACGAGGACAGUUCUGACAGUAAGGGAUGAAGGCUCGGGGCGCAAAACGGAUUAGAUACCCCCGUAGUC
This 422-nucleotide ribosomal RNA is filed under the name uncultured archaeon. RNAcentral's name for it is "partial 16S ribosomal RNA". It matches the Rfam family "Archaeal small subunit ribosomal RNA", at positions 323 to 746 of the family's 1478-position model. The record is from RNAcentral.